UCCCUCGUAGCUUAGUUGGUAAAGAAUCUGCCUGCAAUGCAGGAGGCCUGGGUUUGAUUCCUGGAUCGGGAA
This 72-nucleotide transfer RNA is filed under the name Ovis aries (sheep). It matches the Rfam family "tRNA". Rfam says of the family: Transfer RNA (tRNA) molecules are approximately 80 nucleotides in length. Their secondary structure includes four short double-helical elements and three loops (D, anti-codon, and T loops). Lineage: Eukaryota; Metazoa; Chordata; Mammalia; Artiodactyla; Bovidae. The record is from Rfam by way of RNAcentral.